AGAUUGAACGCUGGCGGCAUGCCUUACACAUGCAAGUCGAACGGCAGCACGGGGGCAACCCUGGUGGCGAGUGGCGAACGGGUGAGUAAUACAUCGGAACGUGUCCAGUUGUGGGGGAUAACCAGUCGAAAGAUUGGCUAAUACCGCAUGAGCCCGAAAGGGGAAAGCGGGGGACCUGUGAGGGCCUCGCGCGAUUGGAGCGGCCGAUGUCCGAUUAGCUAGUUGGUGAGGUAACGGCUCACCAAGGCGACGAUCGGUAGCUGGUCUGAGAGGACGACCAGCCACACUGGGACUGAGACACGGCCCAGACUCCGUACGGGAGGCAGCAGUGGGGAAUUUGGACAAGUGGGGCAACCCGUGAUCCAGCCAUCGCCGCGUGUGUGAUGAAGGCCGUUCGGGUUGUAAAGCGUACGUUUACGGACGGAACGAAAUCGGCGUGGACGAAUACGU
Molecule: ribosomal RNA, 450 nt
Filed under: uncultured soil bacterium
Lineage: Bacteria
Description: bacterial SSU rRNA
Rfam family: Bacterial small subunit ribosomal RNA
Source: RNAcentral